UUAGAUAGUGGUUUCUCAAUGUAACAAUAUUUAUUUCAUCAGUAUAGCCUAGAUCAGAUGAUAAGAUUUGCUUGGAUGUUUGUAAACAUCUGAGAAUCUUUUUUGUUAGGAAUGUUAGAUAUCACUAUUAGGGUGACGUUAGUGAUUAGCCAAUCACUGAACAUAACUUUCGCGUACUUGUAUAAAUAGAUCACACCUGUUUGUGAUCUAUUUAUCACACACAUCACAUUUUCUCUUGCAUGAACUCAUUUGUUUGUGUGAUUAGAUGUGAUGGAGUUUGUCGAGUCAAUCGAGUUGUAAAACAUUUGAAUCUUUGAUGAUUAAUGAAAAACAUUCAUUGAUGAUGACUUCCAGUUUAUACUAUGAUCAUUGAGGAUUGGAGU
Molecule: long non-coding RNA, 383 nt
Filed under: Helianthus annuus (common sunflower)
Lineage: Eukaryota; Viridiplantae; Streptophyta; Magnoliopsida; Asterales; Asteraceae
Description: hypothetical non coding rna
Source: RNAcentral